RNAcentral lists this ribosomal RNA (472 nucleotides) under uncultured bacterium. Its description in RNAcentral is "bacterial SSU rRNA". It matches the Rfam family "Bacterial small subunit ribosomal RNA", at positions 8 to 507 of the family's 1533-position model. The record is from RNAcentral.
AGAGUUUGAUCAUGGCUCAGGAUGAACGCUGGCGGCGUGCCUAACACAUGCAAGCCAAGCGAUUCUCUUCGGAGAAGAGCGGCGGACGGGUGAGUAACGCGUGGGUAACCUGCCCUGUACACACGGAUAACAUACCGAAAGGUAUGCUAAUACGAGAUAAUAUACUUUUAUCGCAUGGUAGAAGUAUCAAAGCUCCGGCGGUACAGGAUGGACCCGCGUCUGAUUAGCUAGUUGGUAAGGUAACGGCUUACCAAGGCGACGAUCAGUAGCCGACCUGAGAGGGUGAUCGGCCACAUUGGAACUGAGACACGGUCCAAACUCCUACGGGAGGCAGCAGUGGGGAAUAUUGCACAAUGGGCGAAAGCCUGAUGCAGCAACGCCGCGUGAGCGAUGAAGGCCUUCGGGUCGUAAAGCUCUGUCCUCAAGGAAGAUAAUGACGGUACUUGAGGAGGAAGCCCCGGCUAACUACGUG